This 403-nucleotide ribosomal RNA is filed under the name uncultured Thermovirga sp. RNAcentral's name for it is "bacterial SSU rRNA". It matches the Rfam family "Bacterial small subunit ribosomal RNA", at positions 985 to 1382 of the family's 1533-position model. Lineage: Bacteria; Thermotogati; Synergistota; Synergistia; Synergistales; Thermovirgaceae. The record is from RNAcentral.
CGUGGUACGGAUCGUGAAAGGUAGAAGGACUUACUCUUUCGGAGUGAGAGCGUACACAGGUGCUGCAUGGCUGUCGUCAGCUCGUGUCGUGAGAUGUUGGGUUAAGUCCCGCAACGAGCGCAACCCUGCAUUCAGUUGCCAUCGGUAAGGCCGGGCACUCUGGAUGGACUGCCGGCGACAAGCCGGAGGAAGUGGGGACGACGUCAAGUCAUCAUGGCCCUUAUGUCCAGGGCGACACACGUGCUACAAUGGCCGGCACAACGGGAAGCGAAGGGGCGACCCUGAGCGGAUCCCACAAAAGCCGGUCUCAGUUCGGAUUGCAGUCUGCAACUCGACUGCAUGAAGUUGGAAUCGCUAGUAAUCGUGGAUCAGCCAAGCCGCGGUGAAUACGUUCCCGGGCCUU